Molecule: ribosomal RNA, 172 nt
Filed under: uncultured bacterium
Lineage: Bacteria
Description: partial 16S ribosomal RNA
Rfam family: Bacterial small subunit ribosomal RNA
Source: RNAcentral
UUUACGGGAGGCAGCAGUAGGGAAUUUUCCGCAAUGGGCGAAAGCCUGACGGAGCAAUACCGCGUGAGGGAUGACUGCCUAUGGGUUGUAAACCUCUUUUUUCAGGGAGGAAUAAAUGACGUGUACCUGAAGAAUAAGCAUCGGCUAACUCCGUGCCAGCAGCCGCGGUAAU